Molecule: unclassified non-coding RNA, 309 nt
Filed under: Hevea brasiliensis (rubber tree)
Lineage: Eukaryota; Viridiplantae; Streptophyta; Magnoliopsida; Malpighiales; Euphorbiaceae
Source: RNAcentral
GCAAGUCAUCGUAAAGAUGUAAAGAAUGAUCUGAAACUUCUUGCAGAUGAAGUACGAACCGUUAAGAAGAGUCAGCGUCCCUCCUUUUGUGAAUAUGUAGAGAAGGAGGAAUGUAGUUUCUGCUCAGCAUCAGUACCCUUUGAUUCUCCAGAUUCCGCUAUCUGUCAGGGGGUGAAGUGUGAUACUGGAACACACAAACUGUCUCGAUGUGCUGUUUCUAUGCGUAUCUGCCCAAUUGCUCCGCUAUGGCAUUGCAUGUGCUGUAAGAGAUGGGCUUCAAUAUUAGCCCCUUCACCCAUCUUCAAAAUG